Molecule: long non-coding RNA, 2207 nt
Organism: Peromyscus californicus insignis
Lineage: Eukaryota; Metazoa; Chordata; Mammalia; Rodentia; Cricetidae
Exons: 3
Source: RefSeq, a predicted model, not a curated record
CUUCGCCUUUCCCUUCUGCGCUUGGGUGCACGCGGUGACAGACAGACGGAGGCGAGGGGCCCCUUCAAAACGGGGAGGAAAGAAACAAGAUUCACAGUGGUGACAUUUAGGUCUUGAUGUUGCCACAGGCCGUCUUGUCCGCUGUGGGAUGCUUAGCAGCAACGCUGGUAUCUGCCGACCAGACACAGUGCCGCUCAGCACUUUGCAUUGCGUCUCCCUCGUAAGAAACUGUCCUGGCUCCUCUCUACAAGAAGUCGGUGUCCUCCCUCCCAGACCCUGUGGAUGUCACUGGACAGGAUGAAAGGAUUGCAGGUCGACUAAGGAGUCCGUGUGAGUGAAAGAAGGACAUGGGGAAGGCAGAGAAGGGAACACGAUGAAGGAACCCGAGGCCAGAGGGGUAUGCUGUCUGCUUCAAAAAGGAAGAGCUCAGGGGCCGAGGAAUGUGAGCUGUGUCUAGAAGCUGUAAAAGGCAAGGGAAAGGCUCACUCCUAAAUCCUCCAGAAGCGAUGUGUCCAUCUCAAAACGUCCUUGAUUCCAAAACCGUAAAAUUGAUUUGUGUAAGCGAUGUUCAAGGGAAUCUGUUCUGGCAACAAAAGAAAAUGACCACAGGGUAGCUGAUUAAGUUUUUAAUGUCUUAUCCUGUUAGAAUUUCUGCAUUUGAACAAUCAAAUCUCAUCAGAUUGCUAUAAAACUCACGUGUGGGGCUGGAGGGAUGGCUUUAGGAGCACUUUCUGCUCUCCCGGAGGACCAAGGUUCAGUUCCCUGCACCCCACAAGGCAGCUCACAACUAUCUGUUAUUCCAGUCCCAGAAUGUAUGAUGCCCUCUUCUGGCCUCCUUGGGCACCACACAUGCAUUAGGUACACAGACAUACAUGUAGAUAAGACAACCAUACACAUAAAAAUAAAUAAAUAAAUAAGCUAAUUACUGCUGUGCUUCUCCUAAAAUAUGCUUAUCAUUCACUUUUAAGUAAAUAACAUAUUCCAAAAUUGUAAGACAGAGGCCAACACAAAUGUAAAUACCUCUAUCUGCCAUCAAAAGAUGAACAUAUUUGUUACUUUAUUUGCAUUUAAUUAAAUGUGUGGCAAAUUUUAAGUAGCUACUGACCAAAUCUCAAGAGAUAAAGCAGAUCUAAGAACCUGUGCUGGCUGAUCUUAUGUCAACUUGACGCACACACUAGAGUUAUCUGAAAGGAGGGAACCUCAAUUGAGGAGAGGCCUCCAUAAGAUCCUGCUGUAAGGCAUUCUCUUAAUCAGUGAUUGAUGAGGAGGGCCUAGCCCAUUGUGGGUGGUGCCACCCCUCGGAUGGUGGUCCUGGGUUCUAUAAGAAAGCAGGCUGAGCAAGCCAUGAUGAGCAAGUCAGUAAGCAGCACCCCUCCAUGGACCCUGCAUCAGCUCCUGCCUCCUGGUUCCUGCCCUGUUUGAGUUCCUGUCCUGACUUCCUUUGGUGAUGAACAGUGAUGUGCAAGUGUAAGCUUUUUCUUUUGGGGGGGGGACUUUGGGGGCAUGGUGUUUCGUCACAGAAAUAGAAACCCUAACUAAGAUAGGCCCUGACCAUACUGGCUUUUAACAGACUAAAGCUGGAUUCUGAAAACAGACUCUAACUUCAGAAGACAAAGGGGCAAAGUUGCCAGUGCCUCCUGGGGUGACUGUCGGGUGAGCAGACCUUCUGAUGGGUAGUUAGAAACAGCUGUCGCUGCAGCAACAGCUGAACGUGACAAAGAGCGGAACGCAGACCUCGCUCCUUAAUAUAGACCAAUGCCUGGCCGUACGCUCUCCUCGUCCACCACCUGUGUGGGGGCUGCUGCGGUGUGGGGGUCACUGCACGGUGCCCAAGGGGCCAGCAGCCCCCCAGAUUCCUAUGAUCACAAGCACUCUCCUAGUCAAGUGUGACUCACACAUUCCUAAGCUGUCCCUCAAAUAACUAAAACGAUAGCAUGAACCCCAAAGUCAACAGCUUGCCUUCCUACCUCCAACCAUACUGUUUAUUAUUAUUCUACAUUCAGCUCGUGGAACUUUCUGAAGAAAACGCUAAACAAAAGCUCGUCACCUACCUCCCCAGCAUACUUAUGAAAAAAAAUGAGAAUCCCUUCACUGUAGAGUUUUCCCUGAACAACAAGAAGAUAAGCAACCCACAGACACACAGAGAAAGACUGUAUGGCAGGGGGUGGGGGUGGGUCUCAAAAUAGCUUACCUGGAGGUCUUGGCAA